This 496-nucleotide ribosomal RNA is filed under the name uncultured bacterium. Its description in RNAcentral is "bacterial SSU rRNA". It matches the Rfam family "Bacterial small subunit ribosomal RNA", at positions 28 to 519 of the family's 1533-position model. The record is from RNAcentral.
GAUGAACGCUAGCGGCAGGCUUAAUACAUGCAAGUCGAGGGGCAGCACAGAUAGCAAUAUUGGGUGGCGACCGGCAAACGGGUGCGGAACACGUACACAACCUUCCCUUCGGUGGGGGAUAGCCUUUGGAAACGGAGAUUAAUACCCCAUAAUACAUUUGUACAGCAUUGUAUGGAUGUUAAAGAUUUAUUGCCGGAAGAUGGGUGUGCGUAUGAUUAGGUAGUUGGUAGGGUAACGGCCUACCAAGCCGACGAUCAUUAACUGGUGUGAGAGCACGACCAGUCACACGUGCACUGAGACACGGGCCCGACUCCUACGGGAGGCAGCAGUAAGGAAUAUUGGUCAAUGGACGGAAGUCUGAACCAGCCAUGCCGCGUGGAGGAUGAAGGUCCUCUGGAUUGUAAACUUCUUUUAUAGGGGGCGAAAAAAGGGAAUUCUUUCUCGUCUGACGGUACCCUAUGAAUAAGCACCGGCUAACUCCGUGCCAGCAGCCGCA